ACAUGCAAGUCGAGGGGAACGACAUCGAAAGCUUGCUUUUGAUGGGCGUCGACCGGCGCACGGGUGAGUAACGCGUAUCCAACCUGCCCACCACUUGGGGAUAACCUUGCGAAAGUAAGACUAAUACCCAAUGAUAUCUCUAGAAGACAUCUGAAGGAGAUUAAAGAUUUAUCGGUGAUGGAUGGGGAUGCGUCUGAUUAGCUUGUUGGCGGGGUAACGGCCCACCAAGGCGACGAUCAGUAGGGGUUCUGAGAGGAAGGUCCCCCACAUUGGAACUGAGACACGGUCCAAACUCCUACGGGAGGCAGCAGUGAGGAAUAUUGGUCAAUGGACGAGAGUCUGAACCAGCCAAGUAGCGUGCAGGAUGACGGCCCUAUGGGUUGUAAACUGCUUUUAUAAGGGAAUAAAGUGAGUCUCGUGAGACUUUUUGCAUGUACCUUAUGAAUAAGGACCGGCUAAUUCCGUGCCAGCAGCCGCGGUAAUACGGAAGGUCCGGGCGUUAUCCGGAUUUAUUGGGUUUAAAGGGAGCGUAGGCCGGAGAUUAAGCGUGUUGUGAAAUGUAGAUGCUCAACAUCUGCACUGCAGCGCGAACUGGUUUCCUUGAGUACGCACAAAGUGGGCGGAAUUCGUGGUGUAGCGGUGAAAUGCUUAGAUAUCACGAAGAACUCCGAUUGCGAAGGCAGCUCACUGGAGCGCAACUGACGCUGAAGCUCGAAAGUGCGGGUAUCGAACAGGAUUAGAUACCCUGGUAGUCCGCACGGUAAACGAUGGAUGCCCGCUGUUGGUCUGAAUAGGUCAGCGGCCAAGCGAAAGCAUUAAGCAUCCCACCUGGGGAGUACGCCGGCAACGGUGAAACUCAAAGGAAUUGACGGGGGCCCGCAC
Molecule: ribosomal RNA, 882 nt
Filed under: uncultured bacterium
Lineage: Bacteria
Description: bacterial SSU rRNA
Rfam family: Bacterial small subunit ribosomal RNA
Source: RNAcentral